This 152-nucleotide ribosomal RNA is filed under the name uncultured bacterium. RNAcentral describes it as "partial 16S ribosomal RNA". The record is from RNAcentral.
GCCCAGUAUCUUCCGAUUGGCGCAGUCUGAUCCAGCACGCCGCGUGAGGGAUGACGGCUCUAGGGUUGUAAACCUCUUUCGGAGGGAAGAAAAUGACGGUACCUCCGUGAAUUUGACCGUACCGGUCGAAUCCGGACCGGCUAAUUCUGUGC